RNAcentral lists this long non-coding RNA (4747 nucleotides) under Canis lupus familiaris (dog). Its description in RNAcentral is "lncRNA (ENSCAFG00000050322.1)". Lineage: Eukaryota; Metazoa; Chordata; Mammalia; Carnivora; Canidae. The record is from RNAcentral.
CGCCCCUGCACACGCCGCCUGCGCCCUCCGCCGCCCGCAGGGAGCCCUCGGUGCACGCCCCGGCGCGGGAGCGGGAGCGGGAGCGGGAGCCGCAGCCGGAGCCGGAGCCGGAGCCGGAGAGCGCGCAGGGCCGCGGGCAGCGUCGACGCGCACAAGCCCCGCUCGCCCGCGAACAAACUUUUCCGCCUCCUCCCCUCGGCGCUGCGCGAAGCCCCGGCGCGGCGGGCCGGGGGGCGGGGCGGGGCCGGGGCGGGCCGGGGGGCGGGGCCGGGGCGGGGCAGGGGCGGGGCCGGGGUCGCCCCGCCCCCGGGGAGGCCGGGCUCGGAGCCCCGGCGGCCGCGCAGGGGGGAGCGGAGCCGAGCGCGGCCGCCCCGAGGGUCCCGUCCCCGCCCCCCGGGCCGCCGUCGCCGCCGCCGCCGCGUCCUGGGAAGCCGACAGCAGACGCAGCUAAGCGAGGAGGCGGGUGUGCGCGCAGCCGGGCCCGUCCUGGGGCGGCCUUCGGGGUGGGAGGCGCGGGGCGCGCGGGAGGCAAGUCCAGUGAGCGCUGCUAUCGGGGAGCCUUUGAAUUCCAAAUUAAAAAGAAAAAGAAAAUCAGACGUGAUCCUACCCUCCACAGAUGAAACAGUGGUUUCAGUGAAAGUUCUAACAUGCUUACUGGUCUUUUUUUUUUUUUGGCCAUAUAUAUCAGCUCAAGAAAUAAAAACAAUUAAAGGUGAUCGGGGCCACAGCAGAUUGGAAACCCCAGAGUUCAUCAGUGAACACCCUGCUCCUCCAGAUAAUUCUACUACACCUGGAUUCGCACUUCCAGCCGUGACCCAGUUUGACUUCCUAAGUGACCCCACCCCCACACCCCGGCUCAGAACUGUCUCUCCUACUGGCUGGCACAGUAACUGAAGUUUUUUUUUUAUCAUUAAGCUCAUUCCUUUAGGAUAAACUUCAUUGUCCUUUUAAAAUGAGAGGGUAAAAAAUAAAUAAAUAAAAAUUAAAAAAAUAAAAUAAGAGGGUAUUAUCUGGGAAGGGUAACAAAUUAACAUAUGAAAUUUAUUUUCAAUAGGGGUGAUACUGUGAUAUGGGCAGCUGCCACUCACUUCCCCAGAAUGUCAUGUGACCCUUCGGAAGAAGCCACUCUGCUUCUGCUCUUGCUGCCUUUGCUCAUUGCAGUGAUAUUUUCCACCCCAAGUGCAGGGGGUGUAAAAAUAAAGGAAGCAGCCCCCCCUUAUCCAUUUCCUUUGGGGGAGAAUUAGUUACACAAAGCAUGUAAAGUCGGGAGAAAUGAUCAAAACUGAUCAUUGGUAGGGGGAAGGAGAGAGCAUGCAGGGGAGUUUUAGACCACAAAUAGCUCCUUCAAGAGGGCAAGUUGGAUUCUAGGGAGUGAAACCCCUAACAGCUGUGUGGUUAGCAUGAAAGUACCAGGUGCCUGGAAAAGGAGCCCUUCUGGGUUGGAGCGGGGGUGUUAGGGAGAGUGAGAUGCCAACACAGAGUAGACCUACUUCAUAGUUUUGAGCUUUCUUUCAGUAAAUAGUGUAUAAUAGAGCCAGGUGGAGGAAUGAGACAGGGGAUCUAAAUUGUUUAUGGGAGGAUAAGACUUGAAGAGUUUAAAGCAGGAGGUAGAGACAAGUGAGGAGAGACUGAGGGGAAAAGGUAUGAGCAACAGAGAGGGUCUUAAUAGCUUUUUUGAGGAAGCAGUGAUGUCAAUGGCACAGGUGUGGAUCCAACUUAGACACCCUGUUCUAGUGUGUAAGUGCAUAUUUUCUUUUUACACGGCUGGGUUAAAUUACUUCCUCUAGGUCAUCCAAUUAAUCACUUGGAGAGCAAGGAAUAGAAUUCAGCAUUCAAGGCUCUCAUUUCACAUCUGGAGCAGGGAAGCCAGGCUUCUCCUUCCUGCAACACCUCUUCAUUUAAAAAAAAAAAAAAAAAAAAGUCUUUUGCGAGUAAGGGAAGUUUUGAGCUCUUUUAUAGAUAAUUUGCGAAACCUUCUUUCUAUUUGUGUGAUUUCAAACUAGGGCACUGUUAGGAGGCAAAAACACUAUAAAUUGCUUUCUGGUUUAUCUUUCAUUCAAGAAUUUAAAGUAUCUAUCAAAAUUAUUUUGAAUUCCCCUCCCCUCUCCUAGCUUUCAAGCUAUUAUUCUGGGGAACAAAAAAAAAAAAAAAUGAGUUACAGAUCUGAGAAAGCAGUGUGUGUGGAGCUUAACUGCUCCAUGACUGAUUGUGUGAUAUAUUGCUCUUUUCACUAAUAACCACAAAGCAGGUAGAGGCAUGGCAGGCUAAUUGGGUUUAUAUGUCCAGCUGUAAGGCUAGACACUGCAUCAUUCUUUUCAGAAACCAGUGACUUUAGGCAUGUGGAACUCGUAGUCAUGACAACAAUAAACCCGCUUUGAGUCUGAGUUUCAGCUCAGAAACUCCCUUGUCUCCAUUACUUCCUGCUCAUGACCUGACUUUUCUUACUCUCUGGGGCUGGGGGCUGGGGAUUUAUGAAAGAUCUAUUGAACAGAGCUCCAGUAUAUGUUUAAUGCUUAAAAUGUCUGGGUUGAAAGUUUUGCUUGCACAGAUGGCUAAAGGCUGGAAGGAGGAUAGAUCAAUCAUUAUUAUAGCUAAUGACACGGUUAUAAGGGCAUACACAAAGGUGAGCUGACUUGGAAAAUGGGAAAAGGCAAUGUGAAAAUAGUGACUUGGAAGCCUUUCUUUGAAUAACAUAAAAAUAUCUAUCACAAAUAAAAUGUUCUUUUAAACACACAGGGGAAUUACACUAUGAUUCUACGAGUACGUAUCCAAAAAACACAAUGAGAAGUAGUGAGGCAAAAGUUAGUACACAAAGUUGAGCGUGUGUGUGUUGUGUGUGUGUGCAUGUGGCAUUUUAAGUCUAAAGACACAACAGAUGCUUAUGACAAAAUCCACGAGCGAUCAUGUUUUGUCCCAUAUGUUUAAUGGAUUUAAUGGUAACCACUUUAGGAGAUGGUAUAGCUCAGUGACAAAAGUCAACGGCCUCCACAAAAUGGAGCAAUAUUGGAAAGUUGUCUAACUAUACAAAGUCUCUGGCUAUUCAGCUGUAAAGAGAAAUGACAUGAUUUGCCCUGUUGGGUUGUUGAGAGAUGGAAUGAGAUCAUGGAGACAAGUGGAUCCUGGUGCCUGGGACAGGGUAAGCACUCAGUGCUGGUCACUGUCACUGUUGAUGCUGCUGGUGGUGUUGAUUUGUCCAGUAAUGGAGAUCUGUCCUUCAUGAGAUUAAAAUGAUUGAGACCUUCAUUGUUACAGAGACAUGAUCACAGAGAUUGGAAGACUUAAGACUUUUUUUUCUUUGGAAAGAUGUUUUGCUGGCUUUGCUAUUUUCUCUGUAUAAUCUGCAUUUUAAGGAGAAUAGAGAAUUAUUGGCUGGAGAAGGCAGGAAGUGCAGGGUGUGAAUUGCUAACAUAAAAGAUAUAUCUGGAGACUUUUGUGCCUUUUCACUGCACACCCAACCCCCCACAACAGGAAGUCAGAAGUUCCAGCAUCAUUUUUGUUUCCUAUUCCUCUAGCACAUUGACCUAGUUUUGUAGGAUUACCUUUUUUUAAGCUUCUAUUUUCCAGCAAGUCGCUACCUCAAGCCAAUAGGCAGAGAAAUAAGACAUAGAUCAAAUCUUAGAGAGCAGCCAAAUGCUUCCUUUCUUUUCUAUGUACUGAGAAAUGGAAUGAUUUGCUUUCCUCAGAGAUCAACUUCAUGAUUUCAUGAUCAUGUAGUUAAACUUCCUAGUAAACGAGAUGCUGCCCAGAGGCCAUGUUAUUCUCUGUGACCUUGUGGAGUGUGGAUCACCGUGUAGAAACCUGAGAAAGUACAUUCAUUUGUUAAGUUAUAAUUUGAGAAGCCAUGAACCACAAACUGAUUAUGUAUUUUUUUUCUUAUAGGAGUUUAGUGGUGUUGCAAAUAAUUUAAUUUCUCUUUACAUUGUCCCCUGACUGGCAGUUACAGUUUACAGCCAUGUAAAAUUAUUUUUUUGAGAUAACACAGAUCACAUUUUUGUCUUACAAAGUUUAUGAGAGAAAUAAAUUUUUGUAUGUCCCUCAUUAGCAUGAAAGUGUUAAUAUACCUCCAGAAAAAGAGAAAUGUCUUACUUUUCUCUAAUAAUUAUAUUAAUUUUUGGACAUUUUAUUUAUUUUUUAUUUCUUUAUUUUUAAGAUUUUAUUUAUUUAUUCAUGAGAGACACAGAGAGAGAGGCAGAGGGAGAAGCAGGCCCCAUGCAGGGAGCCCAAUGCAGGACUCGAUCCCGGGACCCCAGGAUCACGCCCUGAGCCAAAGGCUCAACCACUGAACCACCCUGGUAUCUCUAAUUUUUGUACAUUUUAAAUUGAUUUAAACAAUGAGCUGAUUAAUAUGAGAGAAAUUUAAACAUUAGCAAGUAAGACAUUUGGAAGUAUAAAAUAAAUAUACAUUAUAUAAUUACUGUAUUGCAGAAAAGAUGUGAUUGAGUGAAUAACUGUUCUGGAUAUUAUAAGCAUUAAUGAAAAGUAUCAUUACAAGCUUACAAAGGACUAUUACAAUAACGGUACUAUAAAAACAAUAUUUUUCAUCCAAAAUGGGUUUGCGAUGAUAGUUUUUCACCAUCUUUUAAUUAGAUUCAGAUAAAAAUGUAGCCAAACUUUGAAGAGUUUUCCCCUUGUUUCACAAGACCUCAUAAUUUCAUAAAUAUUGGUCCUAAAGUUUCCAAGCUUUAGAGGGGAUUUUGGAAAGCACAAGUCAUUUCUUUUUACAAAGUUAGAAUGUUUAGUCUAUGCA